This 310-nucleotide unclassified non-coding RNA is filed under the name Zea mays. RNAcentral describes it as "misc RNA Zm00001eb005520". The record is from RNAcentral. Lineage: Eukaryota; Viridiplantae; Streptophyta; Magnoliopsida; Poales; Poaceae.
CCCUCCAAUUUGUGGCACCAAGUGGUGCGUGCGUCCGUCCUUUGCUCUUGUUUGUUUGUUUGUUUGUUUGUUCUGGUUCGGUCCAUCAUCAGUCCGUAAUGCUCUUGGCUGGCACUGGCAGGCAAAAGAAUCCGCUUUUGUACUGCGCUUGCUUUGCCCGCAAAUUAAACCCGCGGAGGAGGAGGACAAGUUAACCCACCUACCAAUGGCGAGUUAUUCUAAAGCCUCUGCGCGGAAACAAAAAAGAAGAAAAAAAAGGAAACUUUCUCCGAUGAUGUCGCACGUGGGAGUGGGACCAGCGGCAGCGAGG